CGCGUAGGCGGUUUGAUAAGUCAGAUGUGAAAGCCCACGGCUUAACCGUGGAAGUGCAUUUGAUACUGUCAGACUUGAGUACCAGAGGGGAAAGUGGGAAUUCCCGGUGUAGAGGUGAAAUUCGUAGAUAUCGGGAGGAAUACCGGUGGCGAAGGCGACUUUCUGGCUGAGUACUGACGCUGAGGCGCGAAAGCGUGGGGAGCAAACA
This 208-nucleotide ribosomal RNA is filed under the name uncultured delta proteobacterium. Its description in RNAcentral is "partial 16S ribosomal RNA". It matches the Rfam family "Bacterial small subunit ribosomal RNA", at positions 568 to 774 of the family's 1533-position model. Lineage: Bacteria; Deltaproteobacteria. The record is from RNAcentral.